CCUACGGGAGGCUGCAGUGAGGAAUAUUGGUCAAUGGGCGGGAGCCUGAACCAGCCAAGUCGCGUGAGGGAAGACGGUCCUAUGGAUUGUAAACCUCUUUAGGCGGGGAGCAAUGCCGGGCACGCGUGCCCGGAGGGAGAGUACCCGCAGAAUAAGCAUCGGCGAACUCCGUGCCAGCAGCCGCGGUAAUACGGAGGAUGCGAGCGUUAUCCGGAUUGAUUGGGUUUAAAGGGUGCGUAGGCGGAUUUUUAAGUCAGCGGUAAAAUGUCCGGGCUCAACCCGGGCCGGCCGUUGAAACUGGGGAUCUUGAGUGGGCGAGAAGUAUGCGGAAUGCGUGGUGUAGCGGUGAAAUGCAUAGAUAUCACGCAGAACUCCGAUUGCGAAGGCAGCAUACCGGCGCCCGACUGACGCUGAGGAACGAAAGCGUGGGGAUCGAACAGGAUUAGAUACCCCGGUAGUC
Molecule: ribosomal RNA, 460 nt
Filed under: uncultured bacterium
Lineage: Bacteria
Description: partial 16S ribosomal RNA
Rfam family: Bacterial small subunit ribosomal RNA
Source: RNAcentral